Molecule: ribosomal RNA, 253 nt
Filed under: uncultured bacterium
Lineage: Bacteria
Description: partial 16S ribosomal RNA
Rfam family: Bacterial small subunit ribosomal RNA
Source: RNAcentral
UACGAAGGGGGCUAGCGUUGCUCGGAAUUACUGGGCGUCACGGGCGCGUAGGCGGAUCGUUUCGUCAGAGGUAAAAGCCCAGGGCUCAACCUUGGAACUGCCUUUGAUACUGGCUAUCUUGAGUACGGGAGAGGUGUGUGGAACUCCGAGUGUAGAGGUGAAAUGCGUAGAUAUUCGGAAGAACACCAGUGGCGAAGGCGACACACUGGCCCGUUACUGACGCUGAGGCGCGAAAGCGUGGGGAGCAAACAGG